This 1528-nucleotide ribosomal RNA is filed under the name human gut metagenome. RNAcentral's name for it is "bacterial SSU rRNA". It matches the Rfam family "Bacterial small subunit ribosomal RNA". The record is from RNAcentral.
AGAGUUUGAUCCUGGCUCAGGACGAACGCUGGCGGCGUGCCUAAUACAUGCAAGUAGAACGCUGAAGAGAGGAGCUUGCUCUUCUUGGAUGAGUUGCGAACGGGUGAGUAACGCGUAGGUAACCUGCCUUGUAGCGGGGGAUAACUAUUGGAAACGAUAGCUAAUACCGCAUAACAAUGGAUGACACAUGUCAUUUAUUUGAAAGGGGCAAUUGCUCCACUACAAGAUGGACCUGCGUUGUAUUAGCUAGUAGGUGAGGUAACGGCUCACCUAGGCGACGAUACAUAGCCGACCUGAGAGGGUGAUCGGCCACACUGGGACUGAGACACGGCCCAGACUCCUACGGGAGGCAGCAGUAGGGAAUCUUCGGCAAUGGGGGCAACCCUGACCGAGCAACGCCGCGUGAGUGAAGAAGGUUUUCGGAUCGUAAAGCUCUGUUGUAAGUCAAGAACGAGUGUGAGAGUGGAAAGUUCACACUGUGACGGUAGCUUACCAGAAAGGGACGGCUAACUACGUGCCAGCAGCCGCGGUAAUACGUAGGUCCCGAGCGUUGUCCGGAUUUAUUGGGCGUAAAGCGAGCGCAGGCGGUUUGAUAAGUCUGAAGUUAAAGGCUGUGGCUCAACCAUAGUUCGCUUUGGAAACUGUCAAACUUGAGUGCAGAAGGGGAGAGUGGAAUUCCAUGUGUAGCGGUGAAAUGCGUAGAUAUAUGGAGGAACACCGGUGGCGAAAGCGGCUCUCUGGUCUGUAACUGACGCUGAGGCUCGAAAGCGUGGGGAGCGAACAGGAUUAGAUACCCUGGUAGUCCACGCCGUAAACGAUGAGUGCUAGGUGUUGGGUCCUUUCCGGGACUCAGUGCCGCAGCUAACGCAUUAAGCACUCCGCCUGGGGAGUACGACCGCAAGGUUGAAACUCAAAGGAAUUGACGGGGGCCCGCACAAGCGGUGGAGCAUGUGGUUUAAUUCGAAGCAACGCGAAGAACCUUACCAGGUCUUGACAUCCCGAUGCUAUUUCUAGAGAUAGAAAGUUACUUCGGUACAUCGGUGACAGGUGGUGCAUGGUUGUCGUCAGCUCGUGUCGUGAGAUGUUGGGUUAAGUCCCGCAACGAGCGCAACCCCUAUUGUUAGUUGCCAUCAUUCAGUUGGGCACUCUAGCGAGACUGCCGGUAAUAAACCGGAGGAAGGUGGGGAUGACGUCAAAUCAUCAUGCCCCUUAUGACCUGGGCUACACACGUGCUACAAUGGUUGGUACAACGAGUUGCGAGUCGGUGACGGCAAGCUAAUCUCUUAAAGCCAAUCUCAGUUCGGAUUGUAGGCUGCAACUCGCCUACAUGAAGUCGGAAUCGCUAGUAAUCGCGGAUCAGCACGCCGCGGUGAAUACGUUCCCGGGCCUUGUACACACCGCCCGUCACACCACGAGAGUUUGUAACACCCGAAGUCGGUGAGGUAACCUUUUGGAGCCAGCCGCCUAAGGUGGGAUAGAUGAUUGGGGUGAAGUCGUAACAAGGUAGCCGUAUCGGAAGGUGCGGCUG